RNAcentral lists this ribosomal RNA (395 nucleotides) under Enterococcus faecium. RNAcentral's name for it is "bacterial SSU rRNA". It matches the Rfam family "Archaeal small subunit ribosomal RNA", at positions 337 to 731 of the family's 1478-position model. Lineage: Bacteria; Bacillati; Bacillota; Bacilli; Lactobacillales; Enterococcaceae. The record is from RNAcentral.
AGGCGCGAAACCUUUACACUGCACGACAGUGCGAUAGGGGGACUCCGAGUGCGAGGGCAUAGAGCCCUCGCUUUUCUGUACCGUAAGGAGGUACAGGAAGAAGGGCUGGGCAAGACCGGUGCCAGCCGCCGCGGUAAUACCGGCAGCCCAAGUGAUGGCCGAUAUUAUUGGGCCUAAAGCGUCCGUAGCCGGCCGGACAAGUCCGUUGGGAAAUCCGCAUGCUUAACGUGCGGGCGUCCAGCGGAAACUGUCCGGCUUGGGACCGGAAGACCCGAGGGGUACGUCCGGGGUAGGAGUGAAAUCCUGUAAUCCCGGACGGACCACCUGUGGCGAAAGCGCCUCGGGAAGACGGAUCCGACGGUGAGGGACGAAAGCCAGGGUCUCGAACCGGAUUA